GAUGAACGCUGGCGGCGUGCUUAACACAUGCAAGUCGAGCGAUGAAGUUUCCUUCGGGAAACGGAUUAGCGGCGGACGGGUGAGUAACACGUGGGUAACCUGCCUCAUAGAGUGGAAUAGCCUUCCGAAAGGAAGAUUAAUACCGCAUAAUGUUGAAAGAUGGCAUCAUCAUUCAACCAAAGGAGCAAUCCGCUAUGAGAUGGACCCGCGGCGCAUUAGCUAGUUGGUGGGGUAACGGCCUACCAAGGCGACGAUGCGUAGCCGACCUGAGAGGGUGAUCGGCCACAUUGGGACUGAGACACGGCCCAGACUCCUACGGGAGGCAGCAGUGGGGAAUAUUGCACAAUGGGGGAAACCCUGAUGCAGCAACGCCGCGUGAGUGAUGAAGGUUUUCGGAUCGUAAAGCUCUGUCUUUGGGGAAGAUAAUGA
Molecule: ribosomal RNA, 429 nt
Filed under: uncultured bacterium
Lineage: Bacteria
Description: bacterial SSU rRNA
Rfam family: Bacterial small subunit ribosomal RNA
Source: RNAcentral